This 65-nucleotide transfer RNA is filed under the name Loxocera lunata. RNAcentral's name for it is "tRNA-Asn". Lineage: Eukaryota; Metazoa; Arthropoda; Insecta; Diptera; Psilidae. The record is from RNAcentral.
UUAAUUGAAGCCAAAAAGAGGCGUAUCUUUGUUAAUGAUAAAAUUGAAUAAUUAUUCCAAUUAAG